RNAcentral lists this transfer RNA (101 nucleotides) under Desulfurococcaceae archaeon. Its description in RNAcentral is "tRNA-Thr". It matches the Rfam family "tRNA". Rfam says of the family: Transfer RNA (tRNA) molecules are approximately 80 nucleotides in length. Their secondary structure includes four short double-helical elements and three loops (D, anti-codon, and T loops). Lineage: Archaea; Thermoproteati; Thermoproteota; Thermoprotei; Desulfurococcales; Desulfurococcaceae. The record is from RNAcentral. RNAcentral also lists the same sequence under 1 other name.
GCCGCCGUAGCUCAGCAGGGUGGAUUCUCGGUGAAACCGAGACACUAGGCGCCGCCCUGGUAAGGCGGAGGUCCCGGGUUCAAAUCCCGGCGGCGGCUCCA